This is a small nuclear RNA of Bison bison bison, 104 nucleotides long. NCBI's taxonomy places the organism in Eukaryota, Metazoa, Chordata, Mammalia, Artiodactyla, Bovidae. The record is from Ensembl.
GUAGUGUGAGCAGCACAUUUACUAAAAUUGGAACGAUACAGAGAAAACUAGCAUGGCCCCUGUGCAAGGAUGACAUGCGAAUUAGUGGAGCGUUGCAUAUUUUU